UUGAGAAACAAAAAACUCAAACGUAUUAGGACUAUACGAGCCUCAAUAAAUAGCCAAACAAAAUGCCACACGCCGCAUAACGAACAAUCCACGUGCCAGUACAAUAUUUGCUAAUUCGCAUUUGUAAUGAAGUCUUACUACGCGAUAAACAGAACGCUUGAAAGCCUGCCGGUUGCCGUAAUGGAAUCAGUAAUAUAAAUGCGAUUGAAGCCGUAAUAAUAAUAGAAUAGUUCAGGCAAUGCAUCGGACUCAAUAAAUGCAAUACAAGCAAAUGUAAUAAAGGUAAAUGCAAUCAAUUUCAAUGCCACUGCAGCAACAGCGACGGCGACAGCGACUUGGUUUUUCCUGGCGGAAAAUUAUAUAGAAAGAAAAAAACUGCCUUCAUAACAAGAAAGAGCAGUGCUAUUCGAACAUUUCAGGUAUAGUCACCUCGACCUUAAUGAAUGAUGCACGUCAUGUACUCUCCACACCUUGGAGAGACAAUCUUGUAUAGAAGUAUAUAGAUGCAGAUGUGACUAUCUUUAUAUAGUUCUGGAAGUCUCUGAGCACAAAGUGAACAAAACCACAAGCGGAAAUCAAGUGGAGAGGAUACUUUAUAACAAAAAACUAUAUUCGAAAGCUUUGUAGCACUCAAGCAAACAGUGUGAAGCAGCUUAAAGUCCAAAGUUAAUACUAAAUCUUAUCUCAUUAUACAACAAAA
Long non-coding RNA from Drosophila hydei, 700 nucleotides. RefSeq lists it as uncharacterized. Lineage: Eukaryota; Metazoa; Arthropoda; Insecta; Diptera; Drosophilidae. The record is from RefSeq and is a predicted model, not a curated record. The transcript has 3 exons.